GACGAACGCUGGCGGCGUGCCUAACACAUGCAAGUCGAACGGAACUGUUUUGAAAGAUUUCUUCGGAAUGAAUUUGAUUUAGUUUAGUGGCGGACGGGUGAGUAACGCGUGAGUAACCUGCCUUCAAGAGGGGAAUAACAUUCUGAAAAGAAUGCUAAUACCGCAUGACAUAUCGGAACCACAUGGUUUUGAUAUCAAAGAUUUUAUCGCUUGAAGAUGGACUCGCGUCCGAUUAGUUAGUGGGUGAGGUAACGGCUCACCAAGACCGCGAUCGGUAGCCGGACUGGGAGGUUGCACGGCCACAUUGGGACUGAGACACGGCCCAGACUCCUACGGGAGGCAGCAGUGGGGGAUAUUGCGCAAUGGGGGCAACCCUGACGCAGCAACGCCGCGUGAAGGAUGAAGGUUUUCGGAUUGUAAACUUCUUUUAUUAAGGACGAAAAAUGACGGUACUUAAUGAAUAAGCUCCGGCUAACUACGUG
RNAcentral lists this ribosomal RNA (482 nucleotides) under uncultured bacterium. RNAcentral's name for it is "partial 16S ribosomal RNA". It matches the Rfam family "Bacterial small subunit ribosomal RNA", at positions 28 to 507 of the family's 1533-position model. The record is from RNAcentral.